GCUUUGAUAGUUUAAGAAAAAACACUGGUCUUGUAAACCAGUAAUGAAGAUUCCCUUCUCAAAUCA
RNAcentral lists this transfer RNA (66 nucleotides) under Atyopsis moluccensis. RNAcentral's name for it is "tRNA-Thr". It matches the Rfam family "tRNA". From Rfam's summary of the family: Transfer RNA (tRNA) molecules are approximately 80 nucleotides in length. Their secondary structure includes four short double-helical elements and three loops (D, anti-codon, and T loops). Lineage: Eukaryota; Metazoa; Arthropoda; Malacostraca; Decapoda; Atyidae. The record is from RNAcentral.